Molecule: small nuclear RNA, 134 nt
Filed under: Chelonoidis abingdonii (Abingdon island giant tortoise)
Lineage: Eukaryota; Metazoa; Chordata; Testudines; Testudinidae
Description: U4 spliceosomal RNA (ENSCABG00000016614.1)
Rfam family: U4 spliceosomal RNA
About the family: U4 small nuclear RNA (U4 snRNA) is a component of the major U2-dependent spliceosome. The structure of U4 snRNA from yeast and human has been reported.
Source: Rfam by way of RNAcentral
AGCUUUCCACAGUGGCAGUAAUCAUAACCAAUGAGUUAAUCUGAGGUGUGAUUAUUGCUAGUUGAAAAUAUCUCGUCCUCUCCCCCUUCCUGUGGGUAGAUGGUACAGUACUACUGUAUGACAGCAGAAACUGU